CGACCCAGUAAAAGCUUGCUGCUUCGCUGACGAGUGGCGGACGGGUGAGUAAUGUCUGGGAAACUGCCUGAUGGAGGGGGAUAACUACUGGAAACGGUAGCUAAUACCGCAUAACGUCGCAAGACCAAAGAGGGGGACCUUCGGGCCUCUUGCCAUCGGAUGUGCCCAGAUGGGAUUAGCUAGUAGGUGGGGUAACGGCUCACCUAGGCGACGAUCCCUAGCUGGUCUGAGAGGAUGACCAGCCACACUGGAACUGAGACACGGUCCAGACUCCUACGGGAGGCAGCAGUGGGGAAUAUUGCACAAUGGGCGCAAGCCUGAUGCAGCCAUGCCGCGUGUAUGAAGAAGGCCUUCGGGUUGUAAAGUACUUUCAGCGGGGAGGAAGGGAGUAAAGUUAAUACCUUUGCUCAUUGACGUUACCCGCAAAAGAAGCACCGGCUAACUCCGUGCCAGCAGCCGCGGUAAUACGGAGGGUGCAAGCGUUAAUCGGAAUUACUGGGCGUAAACCGCACGCAGGCGGUUUGUUAAGUCAGAUGUGAAGUCCCCCGGGCCUC
Molecule: ribosomal RNA, 554 nt
Filed under: Escherichia coli
Lineage: Bacteria; Pseudomonadati; Pseudomonadota; Gammaproteobacteria; Enterobacterales; Enterobacteriaceae
Description: bacterial SSU rRNA
Rfam family: Bacterial small subunit ribosomal RNA
Source: RNAcentral